UACGGAGGGUGCGAGCGUUGUUCGGAAUCACUGGGCGUAAAGGGCGUGUAGGCGGUCCGCUAAGUCUGAUGUGAAAGCCCGGGGCUCACCCCCGGAAGGGCAUUGGAAACUGGCGGACUCGAGUCCCGGAGAGGAAGGUAGAAUUCCUGGUGUAGCGGUGAAAUGCGUAGAUAUCAGGAGGAAUACCGGUGGCGAAGGCGGCCUUCUGGACGGUGACUGACGCUGAGACGCGAAAGCGUGGGGAGCAAACAGG
Molecule: ribosomal RNA, 253 nt
Filed under: uncultured bacterium
Lineage: Bacteria
Description: partial 16S ribosomal RNA
Rfam family: Bacterial small subunit ribosomal RNA
Source: RNAcentral